This is a long non-coding RNA of Oncorhynchus tshawytscha (Chinook salmon), 771 nucleotides long. The record is from Ensembl. Lineage: Eukaryota; Metazoa; Chordata; Actinopteri; Salmoniformes; Salmonidae.
GGGGAGAGAGAAUGACAGAGGAAAGGGAAGGGGGAGAGAGAACGACAGAGGAAAGGGAAGAGAGAGAGAAUGACAGAGGAAAGGGAAGGGGGAGAGAGAGAACGACAGAGGAAAGGGAAGGGGGAGAGAGAAUGACAGAGGAAAGGGAAGGGGGAGAGAGAACGACAGAGGAAAGGAGGGGGAGAGAGAACGGCAGAGGAAAGGGAAGGGGGAGAGAGAACAGCAGAGGAAAGGGAAGGAGGAGAGAAUGACAGAGGAAAGAGAAGAGAGAGAGAGAAUGACAGAGGAAAGGGAAGGGAGAGAGAAUGACAGAGGAAAGGGAAGGGGGAGAGAGAAUGACAGAGGAAAGGGAAGGAGGAGAGAGAACGACAGAGGAAAGGGAAGGUGGAGAGAGAACGACAGAGGAAAGGGAAGAGAGAGAGAGAAUGACAGAGGAAAGAGAAGAGAGAGAGAAUGACAGAGGAAAGGGAAGGGGGAGAGAGAAUGACAGAAGAAAGGAAGAGAGAGAGAAUGACAGAGGAAAGGGAAGGGGGAGAGAGAAUGACAGAGGAAAGGGAAGGAGGAGAGAGAAUGACAGAGGAAAGGGAAGAGAGAGAGAAUGACAGAGGAAAGGGAAGGGGAGAGAGAGAACGACAGAAGAAAGGGAAGGGGGAGAGAGAAUGACAGAGGAAAGAGAAGAGAGAGAGAAUGACAGAGGAAAGGGAAGGGGGAGAGAGAGAACGACAGGAAGUGGGAGAGAGAACAUCAGAGUAAAGGGAAGGGGGAGAGAGA